GACGAACGCUGGCGGCGUGCUUAACACAUGCAAGUCGAACGGAAAGGCCUGCUUUCCCUUGUGGAUUGCGGGUACUCGAGUGGCGAACGGGUGAGUAACACGUGAGUGAUCUGCCCCCAACUUGGGUAUAAGCCUGGGAAACUGGGUCUAAUUCCCGAUAGGACUGCAGGGUGGUGCCUGUGGUGGAAAACGAUUUUCUAGUGGUUGGGGAUGAGCUCGCGGCCUAUCAGCUUGUUGGUGGGGUAAUGGCCUACCAAGGCGGCGACGGGUAGCCGGCCUGAGAGGGUGGACGGCCACAUUGGGACUGAGAUACGGCCCAGAGUCCUACGGGAGGCAGCAGUGGGGAAUAUUGCACAAGGGGCGGAAGCCUGAUGCAGCGACGCCGCGUGGGGGAUGACGGCCUUCGGGUUGUAAACUCCUUUCGACCGCGAGGAAGCCACCUGGUUGGAAGGGUGGUGACGGUAGUGGUAGAAGAAGCACCGGCUAACUACGUG
This 494-nucleotide ribosomal RNA is filed under the name uncultured bacterium. RNAcentral describes it as "partial 16S ribosomal RNA". It matches the Rfam family "Bacterial small subunit ribosomal RNA", at positions 28 to 507 of the family's 1533-position model. The record is from RNAcentral.